This 301-nucleotide ribosomal RNA is filed under the name uncultured bacterium. RNAcentral's name for it is "partial 16S ribosomal RNA". It matches the Rfam family "Bacterial small subunit ribosomal RNA", at positions 509 to 807 of the family's 1533-position model. The record is from RNAcentral.
CAGCAGCCACGGUAAUGCGUAGGUGGCAAGCGUUGUCCGGAAUUAUUGGGCGUAAAGCGCGCGCAGGUGGUUUAAUAAGUCCGAUGUGAAAGCCCACGGCUCAACCGUGGAGGGUCAUUGGAAACUGUAAAACUUGAGUGCAGGAGAGAAAAGUGGAAUUCCUAGUGUAGCGGUGAAAUGCGUAGAGAUUAGGAGGAACACCAGUGGCGAAGGCGGCUUUUUGGCCUGUAACUGACACUGAGGCGCGAAAGCGUGGGGAGCAAACAGGAUUAGAUACCCCGGUAGUCCCUGUCUCUUAUAC